This is a long non-coding RNA of Canis lupus familiaris (dog), 651 nucleotides long. RefSeq lists it as uncharacterized. The record is from RefSeq and is a predicted model, not a curated record. Lineage: Eukaryota; Metazoa; Chordata; Mammalia; Carnivora; Canidae. The transcript has 3 exons.
UUCAUAUCAAGUAAGUUCAAAAUGAGUCACAAUAUAGCAGUAUCUAAGCAAAUAUGCUUUGUGAUGGUCAACAUCAAGUUGGAAGAGUCUCCUUCCUUCUUAAUAAUCAUUUAACUUCCCCCAAUUAACAGGGCUUUGGUGACAAUGACCAGCUGGAACCUCUACAUGAUGAUUUCCGCUAUCUGUGUCCCGAGAACGGGAGGAAGGGUACAGUCCAGGGAAAGAGUGUGCUGGGCAUCCAGAAGCACAGUAUGCAGCGCAAGCUCCUGCUUUCCAUUCACGUGCGGGGACGGGAAGUGAGAAGUGGAAGUGGGUAGAGGGAUUCCUCCAGAAUGGAGACACCCAAAGACCAUCCGUACAACAUCAUGGUACCUCAAGGAAACUCUUAUGUCUGGAAAUCUUUCCUUCACACCUCCAUUCCUAUCACCAUUUUUCAUGGGUCUAUUACCUCAUUUUUCCUUCUCCCUGUGCAAUGAUAAUGAUGUUAUACAAGAAGGAUGCAAGAUGUCUCCAAAAUGGCACCUUUGGAUAAAAGAUCUAACCAAAAUGACACCUUUUUGGAUAAAAGAUCUAACCUUACUUCCAAAGAGAUAUAACCCCUGUUUUUAAGGAACACAUAGCCUGAUGGAAUCUUCAUUGAGUGUCCUCAUG